UACGUAGGGACCAAGCGUUGUUCGGAUUUACUGGGCGUAAAGGGCGCGUAGGCGGCAAAUUAAGUCAUCUGUGAAAUCUCCGAGCUUAACUCGGAACGGUCAGGUGAUACUGAUCUGCUAGAGUGCGGAAGGGGCAAUCGGAAUUCUUGGUGUAGCGGUGAAAUGCGUAGAUAUCAAGAGGAACACCUGAGGUGAAGACGGGUUGCUGGGCCGACACUGACGCUGAGGAGCGAAAGCAUGGGGAGCGAACAGG
Molecule: ribosomal RNA, 253 nt
Filed under: uncultured bacterium
Lineage: Bacteria
Description: partial 16S ribosomal RNA
Rfam family: Bacterial small subunit ribosomal RNA
Source: RNAcentral